UGGGGAAUAUUGGGCAAUGGGCGAAAGCCUGACCCAGCAACGCCGCGUGAAGGAAGAAGCUUUCGGGUUGUAAACUUCUUUUGACAGGGAAGAGCAGAAGACGGUACCUGUCGAAUAAGCCACGGCUAACUACGUGCC
Molecule: ribosomal RNA, 138 nt
Filed under: uncultured bacterium
Lineage: Bacteria
Description: partial 16S ribosomal RNA
Rfam family: Bacterial small subunit ribosomal RNA
Source: RNAcentral